UUCAAAUUGAGACUAUUCGAUCCAGGGGCUGGUCAUCAAGAUGGAGCAGGGUAUAGAGAAGCCAUUAGGGAUGAUACAGAACACCACCAAAGGAGCUCCUUCUGGGAUUCUCUAUUGGCUGAACUCAGCCAGAAGCUGCCAAGGGAGACCCCCACAACUGGAUGCAGCCCACUGAAGUCAGCUUCCUGGGGUGCGUAGCUGAAGGUAGCAGGGAGCAAAAAGAAUCUGAAGGGGAAGUGAACAAUGUAGAGCGUAUCUGUGCUGAAGACGUAAGGAGAGAGUGGAGGUCAGAAGCUGGCAUGGUCCCUGGUGCAUGUAUCAGCCGCUAAAGCUGGAGUGGAUGAAUCAGAACUUUCCCCAUGGGAGCAUUUAUAAAAAGGGGACACCCAGCGCAGAAGAUGUUUUCCAGGGAGAUCUCGGGGAGCCCAACAAGCCAAGAAGAGCAGAGCAAAGCAUUCCAAGGAAGGACUCUAAGUCUGCAACCGAGCACACACGAGGGUAGCCUACGCAUGUACGUCUUGCAGUGAUGGCAAGGAGCAGGAGAAAGAAAGCCCAUCCAAACAAGCAUAUUGGAAGCCUAUGUAUCCCAUAAGCUGACAUCUUGUUGCCCAAAGCAUGUCAUGUGCGUGGUCCAGAGUCAGUGUUGAAGGGCUCUGCAAAAUCACAUGGUAAAGACUGUGGUUUCAGGGAGGAGUGAAGAUUUGUGCGCAUUGCUCCAAUUGACAACCAUGGCACUAGGCUCAGGCCACACUUCUUCCUAACAAGAGAGCAAGUCAAAGCGUGGUUAGUUAAAGUCCAUACAAAAACUCACUUUAACAGGCCUCCUCUGGAUUGAACAGCUGAUAUUAAGUCAUAAGGUACCACAUCAGAAAGAUACUGGGUAUCUUUGGUUCAGCAAUUCCAUCACCAGGGACUUUUUCAUCCUAAGGAAAUCACUGCACGGUGGACAAAGAUAUAUGCAUAAGGAUGCUCCUUCUGGCCAAAGACCAAAAACAUAACUGGCCAUCAGUAAAAGCCAACACAAGGAAAGACCAUGUGAAUACACAGCAAGAACGUGGUGCUCUGCAAGUCAGAAACAGACCCGUCAUCAGACACCAAAUCAGCCAGCACCUUGAUCUAGGAUUUCUGGCCUCCAAAACAGUGAGAAAAUAAAAUUCUGUUGUUUAAGCCAUGCAGCCUGUUGUAUUUCAUUAUGGCAGCCUGAGCAGAAUAAGACAGGUAUAUACAAAUGCAAAUUCUAUUAAGAAAUCUGUAUCUUUUACCCUAUUGAAGUAAGUUAUACCUCAAUUGAAGAAUAAAUAAAAGAGAAAGAAGGAGC
This 1318-nucleotide long non-coding RNA is filed under the name Homo sapiens (human). RNAcentral's name for it is "HSALNT0405452". The record is from RNAcentral. Lineage: Eukaryota; Metazoa; Chordata; Mammalia; Primates; Hominidae.